AAGCUCUCCUUGGAAACUUUAUAAUUUAAAAAAAAAAAAACAAAGCCUCCUGAAUCCACAAAUGUUUUUAAAUGAAUUCAGGUCCCAAAUUCCUGGAGUAGGGUGGGGAGGCAGAAGAUGAUGGAAAGUCUUUCAGUGUGUCAAGGGCGCUGGAGCCCUCUCCCACCUCCCAAGCGCUUGCUGACGGGGACACAAGAGCCCUCGCGCAUCUGGGGAAGUGUCUCCUUUUGAAAACGCACGGGUCCUUGUGCUCUGAGUGUUUUGAGUCCGGUCCAUUAUGAGAAAUCUCCUUUUGAGGAUGGACAUAUUCAAAUCCAGAUGCUGUUCUUCCAGAACAAAAAGCGCCCUCCAAACUCUGUGAAGAAAGAGGUUCUCAUCCUUUGAAGGAAUAACAUCUCUUGAUAAGCGGAUUUUUUUCCCCCAGCCAAGAACGUGCUUUUCUGAAUUUGCUAAAACUGGUUUAAUAGCCUGUCCCUGUUCCACGUCUGAUGCCAGGAUGGCAGCAACAAGGUGGAAUGUCACUGGCUGCUGGAUUCAGUAGAUGGAGUAUGGCUUCACUAAGAAGAGGUUGGAUUUUUAAAAUAUACACGGUUUAUUUAGAAGAAUUUCUUUUAAUUCAAGACAUACAUUCUAAUGGGACAAGUGUAAGAUGAAAUAUGGAUUAUCAGAAAAACUUCCCAAAUUGUACAUUUCACUUUGCUGAUUCAAAGAUCUUUGGAUAAUUAAAAAUAAAUUAAAAGAAAAAAGAAGAGUUCCUGUCGUGGAGCAGCAGAAACAAAUCCAACUAGGAACCAUGAGGUUGCAGGUUCGAUCCCUGGCCUUGCUCAGUGGGUUAAGGAUCCAGCAUUGCUGUGAGCUGUGGUGUAGGUCACAGAUGAGGCUUGGAUCCUGCGCUGCUGUGGCGUACGCCGGCAGCUGUAGCUCCAAUUAGAUCCCUAGCCUGGGAACCUCCAUAUGCCAGGGGUCCAGCCCUAGAAAGACAAAAGGCCAGAAAAAAAAGAAAGAAAGGAAAAAAAAGAACCCAUGCCUUAAGAUAAUAAAUAUGUCUGGGAGUUCCCGUCGUGGCGCAGUGGUUAACGAAUCCGACUAGGAACCAUGAGGUUGCGGGUUCGGUCCCUGCCCUUGCUCAGUGGGUUAACGAUCCGGCGUUGCCGUGAGCUGUGGUGUAGGUCGCAGCCGCGGCUCGGAUCAUGCGUUGCUGUGCCUCUGGCGUAGGCUGGUGGCUACACCUCCGAUUCGACCCCUGGGCUGGGAACCUCCAUAUGCCAGGGGUCCAGCCCUAGAAAGACAAAAGGCCAGAAAAAAAAGAAAGAAAAAAAAAAUAUGUCUAUCACCUUUUAAAAAAAAUCCUCAAAUAACAAAUUUUCAGAAAAAAAGAAUGUGAGUUCUCCUUGUGGCUCAGCAAUAGCGAACCCGACUAGUAGACUAGUAUCUAUGAGGAUGACGAUUCGAUGUCUGGCCUUGAUCAGUGGGUUUAGGAUCCAGCGUUGCUGUGGCUGUGGCAUAGGCCAGCAGCUAUAGCUCCCAUUCGAAUCCUAGCCUGGGAACUUCCAUAUGCCAAAGGUGUGGCCCUAAAAAGAAAAAAAAAAAAAAAAAAUUUAAGAAUGACUGAAGAAAAGGGGUUUGCUGGCUCUGUAGAACUGGGGGCUUGGCGUCGGAACUUCAGGUAGGUUUUUAUACAGAAAGAAAGCAAUGUAGGAAGUUCCCAUUGUGGCACAGCAGUAAUGAACCUGACUAGCAUCCAUGCGGACUCAGGUUCAAUCCCUGGCCUCACUCAGUGGUUAAGGGUCUGGUGUUGUUGUCACUGCUGCGGCUUGGGUUGCUGCUAUGGCAUGGGUUCGAUCCCUGGGAACUUGCACUUGCGACAAGCAUGGCAAAAAAAGAAAAUCAAAAACAACCUCAAUGUCUCUCGGUCACAAACUCCAUAAAUAAAUUAUGGUACAUCCUUACAACGGAAUAUUCUCCAGCUGACCAUUUUUUGGUAAUGAAGCAGUAUAACAUACACUGACUGGAAUUACUUCAAAGGUCUAUUACAAAGUAAGAAAAGCGAGGCUCGGUUGGCUAUAUAGAGGGCUUCAUUUGUAUAAAAAUAAAGAGACAAAGCAGGAUAUCUGUGAACAAACAUUUGCUUGUAGCUGCAUAGAUUCUAUCUGGAAAGAUACAUAAGAAACUGCUAACUUCAGUUCCUGGAAAACAAAAUCAUUUGAAGGUCCAUGGAAAGAAGAGUUGGUUGCUAAUCUAAACACACCCAUGCCUUUUGCACCUUUUGCAUUGUGUAUAUAUCACCUGUUCAAAAAAAAAAAUCUAUGUAGAACAUCAAGAUGCCUCUAGUACUUCAAAAACUAACAGUAAAAAGAGAAAAUACAGCCAUUUUAGCUUUUCAUCUUUUGAAAAUAACAACUAUUCAUACCUGAAAUGGGUUAUUUGAGGAAAUGAUAUCUUUUAUCUCUUUGUUUAAAAACAAAGCACAACAUGGGUUUUUAAAAUAACCAGCUAAAUCACAAAAAAAUGAAGCACAGGAUGCAACAAUUCUAAUCUCCCAUGUAUUGAAAGCAAAUAUAUCUAUUUCUUAAUUCUUAUCAUGCAGUUAAAUUUCAAUCUAUAAUGAUAAUUUCAGCAUACAUUCAAUCCCCAAACCAAGACCAACAAGAUAUUUUCAAUUUCUUUGUCUAUAAAUCUGGUUUAUUCAGAAGGGUUUGAAAAGUUCCUGUCAUGGCUCAGUGGUUAUGAACCCGACUAGCAUCCAUGAGGACACCGGUUCAAUCCCUGGCCUUGCUCAGUGGGUUGAGGAUCUGGCAUUGCCAUGAGCUGUGCUGUAGGUCGCAGACACGGCUCAAAUCCCACCUUGCUGUGGCUCUGGAGUAAGCUGGUGGCUGUAUCUCCGAUUUGACCCCUAGUCUGGGAACCUCCAGUGCAGCCCUAAAAAAAAAAAAAAAAAAAAAAAAGUUUUGCAAGGUCUUUGGUGUAAAAACAAUUUGAAUGUUCAAACAUAUUGAUAAAUACAACCUGGGCUCACUGUGUAUGGCUAUGCAAGCUGCAAACUGUACAACUCCAGGGGUUGCUUUUCAGAUCCUAAGUCAAAUUGUGCAGUGCACUACCUGUGCAACUGGGCAUGUCAAUCCUGUGGCUACUGAAAAUGUUGGACACUGUGGAAAGAAAGUUUUUGGGCAGGGGAGGGUAGGUGUCAAAGCUGGGGUCACAUAGAUUGUGAGGCCAGAAUUUCAUACAUCCUAUCUCUCCAGGCUGGCCUCCCUUUUGGAGGCUCUGAAAACAGAAAUAGCCUAAGUUUUCUCUGAGCCUUAUAGCCUUGGUUUUCCUAAGGUUGGGGCCAAGGGACCAUCUGCCAGGGCCUACAAUCACCUCCUCAGCCUGUACAACUCAAAGUCCUCUUUAAUCACUUGGCAGCUGAGAAGGAAGGCCAGAAGAAGGGCCCCCACUGUACCCCCUCAUCUUUAUUCCUACCCUAAUGGAGGCAGAGGCAGUUCGCACAAGGGUAGAGGUGGUGGUGAUGGAACCUUAAGUGAUGUUCUGGACAUUUGGCCUCUGGAACCUGCUCUACCACCACCACCUUUCUGUGUGAUCUUGGCAAAUCUUUAAGCCUCUCUGGGCUUUUCCAUCCCUGUUUGCAAAAUGAAAAGGAUUAUUGCCUGUCUUUCUCUGCCUCUUGGAAAAGCAGACAAGAGAGAAAAACACAAAGUGAAGAUUUCACAGGGAAUGCACAGAAAUUCCAGCAUGCUAAUAAUCACCAUUAAGCCUCAAGAAUUAGGGCCUGAGGGAGUUCCCAUUGUGGCUCAGGAGUAAGGAACCUGACUAGUAUCCAUGAGGAUGUGGGUUCAAUUCCUGGCUUCACCCAGUGGGUUAAGGAUUCGGCGUUGCCCUGAGCUAUCGUGUAGGUGUAGAUGCGGCUCGAAUCGCUCGUUGCUAUGGCUGUGGCAUAGGCUGGCAGCUACAGCUCUGAUUCAACCCCAAGCCUGGGAACUUCCAUAUGCUACACGUGCAGUCCUAUUUAAAAAAAAAAAAAAAAAAAAAAAAAAAAA
RNAcentral lists this long non-coding RNA (4037 nucleotides) under Sus scrofa (pig). Its description in RNAcentral is "lncRNA (ENSSSCG00015004166.1)". The record is from RNAcentral. Lineage: Eukaryota; Metazoa; Chordata; Mammalia; Artiodactyla; Suidae.